AUGGCGUAAAGGAGCCAAUCUGUGGAUACCCCCACCGCAUCUGUUUUAUUUCAUGGCGCUCAUCUCCACGUCUCCUCAAAAGGGUAGGCUAGUGGUGGCUGUGUUAUCGGCCAUUAGCAUUUAUUCCUAUGUUUGAUAUUUCAAAAAAUGACCAAUGGACGGGUAAUUUAACAGCCGGGCUUUACCCGCAAGGUUGCCCAUUAAUUGUAAGAAUACAUGGAUUGGACCUCACCGCCAAGCGAAGCCUGGUGCGAGCUUGGCACUGCAAGUGACGUGGCCGUGAAACUCGAGACUCUACCCAAACCUACAGGUCACAUGACAGAUUUGUGCAGUGAUGAAGCAGAAAACUCGCCCCACCUUCAGCUCCACACUCUCAAGCAGUUUGAACAG
Long non-coding RNA from Gadus chalcogrammus (walleye pollock), 390 nucleotides. RefSeq lists it as uncharacterized. The record is from RefSeq and is a predicted model, not a curated record. NCBI's taxonomy places the organism in Eukaryota, Metazoa, Chordata, Actinopteri, Gadiformes, Gadidae. The transcript is spliced from 3 exons.